This is a long non-coding RNA of Hibiscus syriacus, 636 nucleotides long. RefSeq lists it as uncharacterized. NCBI's taxonomy places the organism in Eukaryota, Viridiplantae, Streptophyta, Magnoliopsida, Malvales, Malvaceae. The transcript is spliced from 3 exons. The record is from RefSeq and is a predicted model, not a curated record.
AACUAGAAAAGCUGCACCUUGCUUGCAAAAACUGGGUUUCUUCCAGUUGAGGAAUCAUGGAGUGAGCAGUUCGUUGGUGGAGAAAGUGAAGAAAGGGACUGAAGGAUUGUUCAAGCUUCCCAUGGAAGAGAAGAAGAGCUUUGGCAACGUCCGGGGAGCUCGAGGGAUUCGGACAAGCUUUUGUUGUGUCCGAAGAACAAAAGCUUGACUGGGGAGACAUGUUCUUCAUCACUUGUCUCCCAACGCACCUCAGGAAACCUCACCUCUUUCAAAACCUUCCUCUCCCUUCAGAGAUGACAUGGAAGCAUACUCGGCAGAACUGAGAGAUAUAACCUUGAAAAUACUUGGUCUCCUGGCAAAGGCACUGGGGAUGGAUGGCGAUGAUAUGAAAAUUUUCGAUGGAGGUUGGCAACCAUUGAGGAUGAACUAUUAUCCCCCAUGCCCACAACCAGAGCUUGCCGUUGGCCUUAGUCCUCACUCUGAUGCUGUUGGCAUCACCAUUUUGCUUCAGAUUAAUGAAACUGAAGGCCUUCAGAUCAAGAAAGAUGGAGCUUGGAUUCCUGUCAAACCCCUGCCUGGUGCUUUCGUCGUUAACAUUGGCGAUAUCUUGGAGGUACACAGUCUUUUCACAAUCUA